This 848-nucleotide ribosomal RNA is filed under the name uncultured bacterium. RNAcentral describes it as "bacterial SSU rRNA". It matches the Rfam family "Bacterial small subunit ribosomal RNA", at positions 8 to 812 of the family's 1533-position model. The record is from RNAcentral.
AGAGUUUGAUCCUGGCUCAGGAUGAACGCCGGCGGUGUGCCUAAUACAUGCAAGUCGUACGCACUGGCCCAACUGAUUGAUGGUGCUUGCACCUGAUUGACGUUGGAUCACCAGUGAGUGGCGGACGGGUGAGUAACACGUAGGUAACCUGCCCCGGAGCGGGGGAUAACAUUUGGAAACAGAUGCUAAUACCGCAUAACAACAAAAGCCGCAUGGCUUUUGUUUGAAAGAUGGCUUUGGCUAUCACUCUGGGAUGGACCUGCGGUGCAUUAGCUAGUUGGUAAGGUAACGGCUUACCAAGGCGAUGAUGCAUAGCCGAGUUGAGAGACUGAUCGGCCACAAUGGAACUGAGACACGGUCCAUACUCCUACGGGAGGCAGCAGUAGGGAAUCUUCCACAAUGGGCGCAAGCCUGAUGGAGCAACACCGCGUGAGUGAAGAAGGGUUUCGGCUCGUAAAGCUCUGUUGUUGGAGAAGAACGUGCGUGAGAGUAACUGUUUACGCAGUGACGGUAUCCAACCAGAAAGUCACGGCUAACUACGUGCCAGCAGCCGCGGUAAUACGUAGGUGGCAAGCGUUAUCCGGAUUUAUUGGGCGUAAAGCGAGCGCAGGCGGUUGCUUAGGUCUGAUGUGAAAGCCUUCGGCUUAACCGAAGAAGUGCAUCGGAAACCGGGCGACUUGAGUGCAGAAGAGGACAGUGGAACUCCAUGUGUAGCGGUGGAAUGCGUAGAUAUAUGGAAGAACACCAGUGGCGAAGGCGGCUGUCUGGUCUGCAACUGACGCUGAGGCUCGAAUGCAUGGGUAGCGAACAGGAUUAGAUACCCUGGUAGUCCAUGCCGUAAACGAUGA